CCUACGGGAGGCAGCAGUGGGGAAUAUUGCACAAUGGGGGAAACCCUGAUGCAGCGACGCCGCGUGAGUGAAGAAGUAAUUCGUUAUGUAAAGCUCUAUCAGCAGGGAAGAAAAUGACGGUACCUGAGUAAGAAGCACCGGCUAACUACGUGCCAGCAGCCGCGGUAAUACGUAGGGGGCAAGCGUUAUCCGGAUUUACUGGGUGUAAAGGGAGCGUAGACGGCAGUGCAAGUCUGGAGUGAAAGGCUGGGGCUCAAACCCCGGACUGCUCUUGAAACUGUACGGCUGGAGUGCAGGAGAGGUAAGUGGAAUUCCUAGUGUAGCGGUGAAAUGCGUAGAUAUUAGGAGGAACACCAGUGGCGAAGGCGGCUUACUGGACUGUAACUGACGUUGAGGCUCGAAAGCGUGGGGAGCAAACAGGAUUAGAUACCCGAGUAGUC
RNAcentral lists this ribosomal RNA (440 nucleotides) under uncultured bacterium. Its description in RNAcentral is "partial 16S ribosomal RNA". It matches the Rfam family "Bacterial small subunit ribosomal RNA", at positions 338 to 795 of the family's 1533-position model. The record is from RNAcentral.